UACGUAGGGUGCAAGCGUUGUCCGGAAUUAUUGGGCGUAAAGAGCUCGUAGGCGGUCUGUCGCGUCGAAUGUGAAAACCCGGGGCUCAACCCCGGGCCUGCAUUCGAUACGGGCAGACUAGAGUUCGGUAGGGGAGUCUGGAAUUCCUGGUGUAGCGGUGAAAUGCGCAGAUAUCGGGAGGAACACCUGUGGCGAAAGCGGCGCACUGGACCAUACUGACGCUGAUGCGCGGAAAGCUAGGGGAGCAAACAGG
This 253-nucleotide ribosomal RNA is filed under the name uncultured bacterium. RNAcentral's name for it is "partial 16S ribosomal RNA". It matches the Rfam family "Bacterial small subunit ribosomal RNA", at positions 524 to 776 of the family's 1533-position model. The record is from RNAcentral.